Molecule: non-coding RNA, 32 nt
Filed under: Mus musculus (house mouse)
Lineage: Eukaryota; Metazoa; Chordata; Mammalia; Rodentia; Muridae
Source: RNAcentral
CAGAACAGAUUUGCCCAUAUUUGUGCUGCAGC